Molecule: ribosomal RNA, 411 nt
Filed under: uncultured bacterium
Lineage: Bacteria
Description: bacterial SSU rRNA
Rfam family: Bacterial small subunit ribosomal RNA
Source: RNAcentral
AUUGAACGCUGGCGGAAUGCUUUACACAUGCAAGUCGAACGGCAGCACGGGAACUUGCUCCUGGUGGCGAGUGGCGAACGGGUGAGUAAUGCGUCGGAACGUACCGAGUAAUGGGGGAUAACGCAGCGAAAGCUGUGCUAAUACCGCAUACGCCCUGAGGGGGAAAGUGGGGGAUCGCAAGACCUCACGUUAUUCGAGCGGCCGACGUCUGAUUAGCUAGUUGGUGGGGUAAAGCCUACCAAGGCGACGAUCAGUAGCGGGUCUGAGAGGAUGAUCCGCCACACUGGAACUGAGACACGGUCCAGACUCCUACGGGAGGCAGCAGUGGGGAAUUUUGGACAAUGGGGGCAACCCUGAUCCAGCCAUUCCGCGUGAGUGAAGAAGGCCUCGGUGUAAAGCUCUUCUAGCUGG